AACUUUAUAGUCAAUAAUGAUAUUAAAUUGCAAAUUUAAAGGAGUAAAAUAGUUAYUAAAGUUU
RNAcentral lists this transfer RNA (64 nucleotides) under Mydaea urbana. RNAcentral's name for it is "tRNA-Cys". The record is from RNAcentral. Lineage: Eukaryota; Metazoa; Arthropoda; Insecta; Diptera; Muscidae.